GAUGAACGCUAGCUACAGGCUUAACACAUGCAAGUCGAGGGGCAGCAUGAACUUAGCUUGCUAAGUUUGAUGGCGACCGGCGCACGGGUGAGUAACACGUAUCCAACCUGCCGAUGACUCGGGGAUAGCCGUUUCGAAAGAAAGAUUAAUACCCGAUGGCAUAGUUCUUCCGCAUGGUAUAACUAUUAAAGAAUUUCGGUCAUCGAUGGGGAUGCGUUCCAUUAGGUUGUUGGCGGGGUAACGGCCCACCAAGCCUUCGAUGGAUAGGGGUUCUGAGAGGAAGGUCCCCCACAUUGGAACUGAGACACGGUCCAGACUCCUACGGGAGGCAGCAGUGAGGAAUAUUGGUCAAUGGACGAGAGUCUGAACCAGCCAAGUAGCGUGAAGGAUGACUGCCCUAUGGGUUGUAAACUUCUUUUAUACGGGAAUAAAGUGAGGCACGUGUGCCUUUUUGUAUGUACCGUAUGAAUAAUGAUCGGCUAACUCCGUGCCAGCAGCCGCGGUAAUACGGAGGAUCCGAGCGUUAUCCGGAUUUAUUGGGUUUAAAGGGAGCGUAGGCGGACGCUUAAGUCAGUUGUGAAAGUUUGCGGCUCAACCGUAAAAUUGCAGUUGAUACUGGGUGUCUUGAGUACAGUAGAGGCAGGCGGAAUUCGUGGUGUAGCGGUGAAAUGCUUAGAUAUCACGAAGAACUCCGAUUGCGAAGGCAGCUUGCUGGACUGUAACUGACGCUGAUGCUGGAAAGUGUGGGUAUCAAACAGGAUUAGAUACCCUGCUAGUCCACACAGUAAACGAUGAAUACUCGCUGUUUGCGAUAUACAGUAAGCGGCCAAGCGAAAGCGUUAAGUAUUCCACCUGGGGAGUACGCCGGCAACGGUGAAACUCAAAGGAAUUGACGGGGGCCCGCACAAGCGGAGGAACAUGUGGUUUAAUUAGAUGAUACGCGAGGAACCUUACCCGGGCUUGAAUUGCAAUUGACUGAUGUGGAGACAUGUCAGCCGCAAGGCAGUUGUGAAGGUGCUGCAUGGUUGUCGUCAGCUCGUGCCGUGAGGUGUCGGCUUAAGUGCCAUAACGAGCGCAACCCUUAUCGAUAGUUACCAUCAGGUUAUGCUGGGGACUCUGUCGAGACAGCCGUCGUAAGAUGUGAGGAAGGUGGGGAUGACGUCAAAUCAGCACGGCCCUUACGUCCGGGGUUACACACGUGUUACAAUGGGGGGUACAGAAGGCAGCUACACGGAGACGUGAUGCUAAUCCCUAAAGCCUCUUUCAGUUCGGAUUGGAGUCUGCAACCCGACUCCAUGAAGCUGGAUUCGCUAGUAAUCGCGCAUCAGCCACGGCGCGGUGAAUACGUUCCCGGGCCU
Molecule: ribosomal RNA, 1358 nt
Filed under: uncultured bacterium
Lineage: Bacteria
Description: bacterial SSU rRNA
Rfam family: Bacterial small subunit ribosomal RNA
Source: RNAcentral